UACGAAGGGGGCUAGCGUUGUCCGGAUUCAUUGGGCGUAAAGAGCGUGUAGGCGGCCAGGCAGGUCGGUUGUGAAAACUGGAGGCUCAACCUUCAGAGGUCGACCGAAACCAUCUGGCUAGAGUACGGGAGAGGAGAGUGGAAUUCCUGGUGUAGCGGUGAAAUGCGCAGAUAUCAGGAAGAACACCCGUGGCGAAAGCGGCUCUCUGGAACGGUACUGACGCUGAGACGCGAAAGCGUGGGGAGCGAACAGG
This 253-nucleotide ribosomal RNA is filed under the name uncultured bacterium. RNAcentral describes it as "partial 16S ribosomal RNA". It matches the Rfam family "Bacterial small subunit ribosomal RNA", at positions 524 to 776 of the family's 1533-position model. The record is from RNAcentral.